AGACACUUGAUGAGCCUGAAGAAUUUCAAAUGGUGGGACGCGCAGAGUUCGAGGACGUACGCUACUUAGAGAUUUAUACGACUUAGAUCCUGUCGAGCGUGUUAAAGUAAGUAGAAAUACUCAUGGUCAGCCUGUUGGAUCUGAAGCUUGACUUUUAGAAGGCUAUUUGGGCAUUUUAGCACGAAAUGCAAAUAUGUUGCCCAUCAACUACGAAUCAUGGCAUCACAUGCCUGAUAGCAACAAAAACCAGGCUCUCGCUAAUAUUAAGGAGAGAUUUGCUUUAGAAGUCUCCGAUGAUUAUAUCAAGAAGGCAUUAGGUAAAAGAUGGAGAGACAAUAAAAGCACUUUAAAGAAACAAUAUUUUAAGAAAGACAUAAGCCUCGAGGAA
Gossypium arboreum is the source of this 388-nucleotide long non-coding RNA. RefSeq lists it as uncharacterized. The record is from RefSeq and is a predicted model, not a curated record. The transcript is spliced from 3 exons. Lineage: Eukaryota; Viridiplantae; Streptophyta; Magnoliopsida; Malvales; Malvaceae.